CCUACGGGGGGCAGCAGUGGGGGAUAUUGCACAAUGGGGGGAACCCUGAUGCAGCGACGCCGCGUGGGUGAAGAAGCGCCUCGGCGCGUAAAGCCCUGUCAGCAGGGAAGAAAAUGACGGUACCUGAAGAAGAAGCCCCGGCCAACUACGUGCCAGAAGCCGCGGGAAUACGUAGGGGGCAAGCGUUAUCCGGAUUUACUGGGUGUAAAGGGGGCGCAGACGGGGAUGCAAGCCAGGAGUGAAAGCCCGGGGCCCAACCCCGGGACUGCUCUUGGAACUGCGUGGCUGGAGUGCAGGAGGGGCAGGCGGAAUUCGUGGUGUAGCGGUGAAAUGCGUAGAUAUCAGGAGGAACACCGGUGGCGAAGGCGGCCUGCUGGACUGCAACUGACGUUGAGGCCCGAAAGCGUGGGGAGCAAACAGGAUUAGAUACCCGAGUAGUC
This 440-nucleotide ribosomal RNA is filed under the name uncultured bacterium. RNAcentral describes it as "partial 16S ribosomal RNA". It matches the Rfam family "Bacterial small subunit ribosomal RNA", at positions 338 to 795 of the family's 1533-position model. The record is from RNAcentral.